CCCAGUUCGGAUUGUAGGCUGCAACUCGCCUACAUGAAGUCGGAGUUGCUAGUAAUCGCGGAUCAGAAUGCCGCGGUGAAUGCGUUCCCGGGUCUUGUACACACCGCCCGUCACACCAUGGAAGUUGGGGGCGCCCGAAGUUGCCUAAGAAAUAAGGUACCUAAGGCGAAACCAAUGACUGGGGUGAAGUCGUAACAAGGUAAC
This 204-nucleotide ribosomal RNA is filed under the name uncultured bacterium. RNAcentral describes it as "partial 16S ribosomal RNA". It matches the Rfam family "Bacterial small subunit ribosomal RNA", at positions 1287 to 1500 of the family's 1533-position model. The record is from RNAcentral.